RNAcentral lists this ribosomal RNA (264 nucleotides) under uncultured Bacillota bacterium. Its description in RNAcentral is "uncultured Firmicutes bacterium partial 16S ribosomal RNA". It matches the Rfam family "Bacterial small subunit ribosomal RNA", at positions 77 to 339 of the family's 1533-position model. Lineage: Bacteria; Bacillati; Bacillota. The record is from RNAcentral.
UGGAUCUGAUUUAACUUAGUGGCGGACGGGUGAGUAAUGCGUGAGCAACCUGCCCUUCAGAGGGGGACAACAGUUGGAAACGACUGCUAAUACCGCAUAAUGUAUUCGGGAGGCAUCUUCUGGAUACCAAAGGAGAAAUCCGCUGAUGGAUGGGCUCACGUCUGAUUAGCUAGUUGGUGAGGUAACGGCUUACCAAGGCAAUGAUCAGUAGCCGGCCUGAGAGGGUGAACGGCCACAUUGGGACUGAGACACGGCCCAGACUCC